This 253-nucleotide ribosomal RNA is filed under the name uncultured bacterium. RNAcentral describes it as "partial 16S ribosomal RNA". It matches the Rfam family "Bacterial small subunit ribosomal RNA", at positions 524 to 776 of the family's 1533-position model. The record is from RNAcentral.
UACGGAGGGUGCGAGCGUUGCUCGGAAUUAUUGGGCGUAAAGCGCACGUAGGCGGCUCUGUAAGUUGGAUGUGAAAGCCCUCGGCUCAACCAAGGAAGUGCAUCCAAAACUACAGAGCUUGAGUACUUAAGAGGAUCGCGGAAUUCCCGGUGUAGAGGUGAAAUUCGUAGAUAUCGGGAGGAACACCAGUGGCGAAGGCGGCGAUCUGGGAAGAUACUGACGCUGAGGUGCGAAAGCGUGGGGAGCAAACAGG